UACAGAGGUCCCGAGCGUUGUUCGGAUUCACUGGGCGUAAAGGGUGCGUAGGUGGCUUGAAAAGUUUGAUGUGAAAGCUCAGGGCUUAACCCUGAAAUGGCAUUGAAUACUGUCGGGCUGGAGGUUUGGAGGGGGGACUGGAAUUCUUGGUGUAGCAGUGAAAUGCGUAGAUAUCAAGAGGAACACCAGUGGCGAAGGCGAGUCCCUGGACAACACCUGACACUGAGGCACGAAAGCUGGGGGAGCAAACAGG
Molecule: ribosomal RNA, 253 nt
Filed under: uncultured bacterium
Lineage: Bacteria
Description: partial 16S ribosomal RNA
Rfam family: Bacterial small subunit ribosomal RNA
Source: RNAcentral